CAAUAGCGUAUAUUGAAGUUGUUGCAGUUAAAAAGCUCGUAGUUGGAUUUCUGGUAGGAGCGACCGUGCCGAACUUGAUUGUUCGAGUAUUGUGUUGUCUUCAGCCAUCCUCGUGGAGAACUUUUCUAACAUUAACUUGUUGGGAUUGGGACCCGCGUCGUUUACUGUGAAAAAAUUAGAGUGUUUAAAGCAGGCAUUAGCUUGAAUACACUAGCAUGGAAUAAUAAGAUAGGACUUUGGUACUAUUUUGUUGGUUUGCAUACCAAAUUAAUGAUCAACAGGAACAGUUUGAGGAUAUUCGUAUGAACAUGUCAGAGGUGAAAUUCUUGGAUUUUGAUCAGACGAACUACUGCGAAAGCAUUUAUCAAGGAUGUUUUCAUUAA
RNAcentral lists this ribosomal RNA (383 nucleotides) under uncultured eukaryote. RNAcentral describes it as "partial 18S ribosomal RNA". It matches the Rfam family "Eukaryotic small subunit ribosomal RNA", at positions 592 to 976 of the family's 1831-position model. The record is from RNAcentral.